GAGAGCCGUAUACUUUGAGAGGAGUACGUACGGUUCGGGGAGAGGUUCUUUGGAAACCUACUACAGCAAUGUAGCAAGGCGCUGAGUUCCUACUCUAC
Molecule: non-coding RNA, 98 nt
Organism: Lysinibacillus sp. BF-4
Lineage: Bacteria; Bacillati; Bacillota; Bacilli; Caryophanales; Bacillaceae
Source: Rfam